UACGUAGGGUGCGAGCGUUAAUCGGAAUUACUGGGCGUAAAGCGUGCGCAGGCGGUCUGUUAAGACCGAUGUGAAAUCCCCGGGCUUAACCUGGGAACUGCAUUGGUGACUGGCAGGCUUUGAGUGUGGCAGAGGGGGGUAGAAUUCCACGUGUAGCAGUGAAAUGCGUAGAGAUGUGGAGGAAUACCGAUGGCGAAGGCAGCCCCCUGGGCCAACACUGACGCUUAUGCACGAAAGCGUGGGGAGCAAACAGG
This 254-nucleotide ribosomal RNA is filed under the name uncultured bacterium. RNAcentral's name for it is "partial 16S ribosomal RNA". It matches the Rfam family "Bacterial small subunit ribosomal RNA", at positions 524 to 776 of the family's 1533-position model. The record is from RNAcentral.